GAGGGUGUAGCUCAAGUGGUAGAGCGCAUGCUUAGCAUGCAGGAAGUCCUGGGUUCAAUCCCCAGUCCCUCC
Molecule: transfer RNA, 72 nt
Filed under: Camelus bactrianus (Bactrian camel)
Lineage: Eukaryota; Metazoa; Chordata; Mammalia; Artiodactyla; Camelidae
Also listed under: 2 other names
Rfam family: tRNA
About the family: Transfer RNA (tRNA) molecules are approximately 80 nucleotides in length. Their secondary structure includes four short double-helical elements and three loops (D, anti-codon, and T loops).
Source: Rfam by way of RNAcentral